RNAcentral lists this ribosomal RNA (467 nucleotides) under uncultured bacterium. Its description in RNAcentral is "partial 16S ribosomal RNA". It matches the Rfam family "Bacterial small subunit ribosomal RNA", at positions 28 to 507 of the family's 1533-position model. The record is from RNAcentral.
GACGAACGCUGGCGGCGUGCUUAACACAUGCAAGUCGAACGGAAAGGCCUCUUUCGGGGGGUACUCGCGUGGCGAACGCGUGAGUAACACGUGAGUAACCUGCCCUUGACUUUGGGAUAACUUCAGGAAACUGGGGCUAAUACCGGAUAGGAGCUCCUGCUGCAUGGUGGGGGUUGGAAAGUUUCGGGGGGUGGGGAUGGACUCGCGGCUUAUCAGCUUGUUGGUGGGGUAGUGGCUUACCAAGGCUUUGACGGGUAGCCGGCCUUGGGGGGUGACCGGCCACCAUGGGGCUGAGGUAAGGCCCAGGAUCCUACGGGGGGCAAGAGGGGGGAAAAUUGGACAAGUGGUGGGAGCCCGAUGCAGCAACGCCGGGGGCGGGAUGACGGCCUUCGGGUUGGAAACCGCCUUCGCUCAUGACGGAGCUGUGUGUGACGGUAGUGGGUAAAGAAGCACCGGCUAACUACGUG